GUCCCUUGGGCCUGGCCCAUAUUCGUUCUCCACUUCCUUCCGAGCGAGGAGGCUGAGGCAGCCAUUGGAUCCAAAAACCGAGCGAUUCACCAUGCUCCUGACCUAGGGUACCGCCACCCCGCCGCCGCAACGCCAGUUCCUUCGCUUGGUCGAAUCCCCCGCCGUGCCGCCCACGCGACCAGGCCACGCCGGCCCAAAUUCCGACGCAAACCCUAAGCCAGCCGGCCAGAUCCCGCCACCCACCCACGCGGCGCGGGGGCCAAUGGCGGAGGACGCCAGCGACAGGGAGCAGCAGCAGCCUGCCGCGGGAGCGGGAGCGGGAGAUGGCGCUGGCCCCAGGUAGGACGGGGGGCGGCAGGGAGGAGAGCGCCGUCAAGCUCUUCGUCGGCCAGGUGCCCAAGCUCAUGACCGAGGCCGAGCUGGCCGCCAUGUUCCGCAACGUCGCCGUCAUCCGUGACAAGGGCAGCAAGGUCUCGCGAGGUUCGUCCGGAUCCGUACGCCCCAACCCGCGCCGCCGGGGUUUCCUUCCGUCCACCCCGUUUCCUUCCAUGCCUGCCCAUCUCUCUGUUUUUUUUUCUUCUUCUCGCGGGUCGGGAUGAGGGCGCGGUUCUGCGGGAACAUGGUUCUGUUGCUCUGCAUUUUCCGUGUUUCCUCGACGGGGGCCAAUGCAUGCCGCACAGGAAACUUGAGCUGCCUGGUUUCUCUCUGUUCCGGCCAAAAUGUUUCUUGCUCUGCUGCUGGGAAUUGGGCUCCUUCAUGGCGGUUUAGGUUCGAUGUGGUGGGGAAUUUCAUGCGAGGGUUGCGUUGAACUGUGAACAUCUGGUACGGUGUGAGCUCCACUGUGGAGAAAAGUCAAAACAUCUGUCCACGUCCGCUUCAUUCACCCCAUGUUUCAUUUUGAGGUGCUUGUCUCGUACGUAGGAGCUUUGGGUUGCUUGAGAUUCUCCGAUUUUGGACUCUUGUUAGUCACCAUUUUAGAAACAGGUUGUAAUGUACUCAUUUGUUGGGUUUAGGUGCAUAAGGUACACCAGAUUUAUAAAUUUGAUCACUCUUAAAUCUUCAUAUAGUUACGUAUAGCACUUUCAGUAAAAUAUAUGAAAUUUUGUAGUUGUUUAAUUUAUAUAUCACUCUUAAAUCUUCAGAUAGUUGCAUAUAGUGCCUGCAUUUAUAUAAAUAACUAGACAUCUAAUAUGUUGGCUUUGCUUUGUAAUUAGUAGUACCAAAGAUCUGCUUGGAUUGUCAUUUUGUCAGUGCAGACACUAUAAGCAAGUACUUAUUCUCACCUGUUGUUGAUCAAAAUAAAUAUUGCAGGAAGUUGGCUGCAGCGCUAAUUAGCACACCAUUGUAACUGCUUGUGUCUCUGCAUCAUUUUCCAUAUUCUGUGUUAAUACCAAAAAAAUGGCCACCCCUUGACUUUUGCUCACGCUUCGCUACUGGUUUCAGGUAAAAGCUUGUGUCAUAUAACUGGUAAUCUGCUUGCUGUGUUGUGUUGUCUAUUGAAUGCUGGUUUCAGGUAGAUGCACAAUCCUUACAUAUUGACAUUGAUAAACUGCUUGUUGAUAACCUCUGCACCGUUGCUGCUGCACGCAUUCUGCCGCCCCCUCCAAGCUGGAUGCCGGUUACGAUGAAGAAUAAAAUGACGAGGAAGACCAGAGUCUGACGAAGGCCACAGUCUGGCUUUCCUGCGAGGACGAGCGCUGGCGACGCGCUCAGCUGCCUGCGGGCGGCGCAGAUAGAAUGUCGGAGGCGGUGCGCUGCAUGACAUUCCUGGUAUGCUACCUCCGUGGGUGGGUAGCGUCCCCAAAUAGUGGCUUGACCAUCUCUGCCCCCUAUUUCACCAUUGCUAGGGUGCACUCACAUUCAGUAAGCAAAGUCUGGACGGUUGGACUAGGUCAUGUUAAGUUUGUGACCUGCACUGAAUUUUUCUGGUCAUCCUUUUGAUAAGUGAAAUUAAGUACGUUGAACCAUUCAUUAUAAUUGAAAUAUCAAGGUGUAUGUGCUAAUUCUCUGUUCUAUUGCCUUCAUUAUGCUCAUGGUUCAUUGUAGCAUUUUAAUAUGCAUGACUCUUGAAUUGGCCAGUAGGAAGGCGUCAUGGCACCCUCUCUGCCACCAAAGUCACAAUUGAAGAAUAUGGUAACUUGUCUUGCUCAUUUCAUUUGUCACUAUAUUACAUAUAACUUCUACAAGGGAAAUCGAACUUUACUGGGUGUUAAGUUUAUUGAGACUAGAUUGUUGAUGAAAUGCAUAUAGUUGGGAGGAUCAUGUUUGAUAGAAGAUUCAAUGUAAUUAGACACUUCUUUUCCACUUAUAUAUGUUGAGCUAUCCCUUCAGAACUAUGAAAGCAAUAGAAAAUCACGCUUGAAUUCUUUUCUAGGCAUCUUAUAAAUAAUUUCAUACCAUGCAAAUAUGUUACGCAAAUAUGCAAAUCUCUGACAUGUUUCAUGAGGCGGAGGGAAGUAUACCGCUUGGGUUGUCAUUAACUCAAUCCCUGUGAUGAAUUAUGUUGACAUAGAUAACGUCCAAUAGAGGUAACAUGACUCGUGCUCAUCAAGAGUGGGAGAUGUGGCUAGAUGGUAUGUACUUCUUUGCAUCGGAAAAAAUUCACCUAACUAUAUCUACUGGCUCCAGUUUGAUCUUGAUUUGUUAUGGGAACAACAAAGACACCAUGUAAGGAUUCUGAUUUUCAUGUAGUUAUAUAUAGCUAUUGUUUAAAUUGACAUCAUUGUUCUGCUGGAGGAGUUGUGCAAAAUCGCCAUUGAGAAGUUCAUGAUAGUGUUCUUCUGAUCCACUUUCUUAUAGCGCCAUUGAGCUCCUUCGCCUGUUCUUCAUCGAGAUAGCCUCAACUACAUCACCGGCAAGCAGCAGAACGAGGCGACCACGUUGGCUUGGGACACCAAGAUUUCCACAAGACUCCGUCUUACUCCCCUUCUUUUUCAACCCCACCACGUAUUAUGUUAUCAUUUGUCCAGCAUGAAUUACUUGGAACAGUGUGGAGCCUGCGGGCUCAUACCUUGGGACUUUUAUGGUAAGUUCCACAUGAGGUAUGUUAUUAUUUUGAGUGUUAUAUUGUACAGAUUAAUGAACCGCUCCCCCUUGUUUUUUAGAAAAGCAGCAAGGAUUGUUCUACUUGUACAGGCGUAGUGUAUACCUUCUCGUAAAUGAGAAGAAAUCAAGAAUUCCAGUACUAUGAGCUUACCAUUUAUUGGCUUAAUCCAUUGUAUUUAUAUUUGCUUCCACUCCCGUUUUGCAAUGUUGAUUAGUGUGAUGGAUGGCGAAACUAAGAUGUUUGAUCUUUCUUUACAAAUAUAGUUUUCAAAUAUUCGUUAGUUUCAGAUAGAGUGAUACUAUCAGUAAGCAUUGUUAUGCUCUGUUUGUUCUUCAAAAAUAAGUAGUACUUCUAUAUGCAUAGAUUCAUUUUCGCAUGCUCUUCAAAAUGAGUAUAUGACAGUCCAGGAUGGGAGUUAGCUAUAAUUUUGUUUGUAGUGGCACAAUACAAGAGUAAGCUACCUCUCACACAUUCUUAUGCCUUAAUUAGGUUCAGAGUUCAGGAGAUAAUUACCAUUUGUUGGCUUAGUCCAUUGUAUAUACAUUUGCUUCCACUCCCGUUGUGGGAUGUUGAUUAGUGUGAUGGAUGCCGAGACUAAGAGGGCAGGAUCAAUUUGAAAAUAUUCGCCAGCAUAUUAUCACACAGAGGCAGUGAAACUACAAUCAAAUCUGCUCGUGUUGGUCUGCCAAGAGUGAAAGCCUGUGGAAUUCAAGAUUAUUUUGGAGGAUUAUUUGGAGUUUGUGCCAUAACAUAUAGUGCGGUAGAUAGGGGAGGGGGAUGGUCUUCUUACCGGCAGCGAGGAGGCAGCGGAACACUGACGGUCAAAGUGAAGCUCUAGAGUGGGGACUAGGGAGCAUUAAUGUGAGUGUGUGUGUGUGUUUUUGGUGUUUAUUGGUAGUUUUCUCAAGAAUCUGUUAGGACAUGGUGCGAUCAAUAUGGAAAGUUCUCUAUGACUUUUUGGAUUUAUAUUAAACUGUCAAAAUAAGCUCUUCA
Non-coding RNA from Lolium perenne, 4039 nucleotides. The record is from RefSeq and is a predicted model, not a curated record. Lineage: Eukaryota; Viridiplantae; Streptophyta; Magnoliopsida; Poales; Poaceae.